CCUACGGGGGACAGCAGUGAGGAAUAUUGGUCAAUGGGCGCUAGCCUGAACCAGCCAAGUAGCGUGAAGGAUGACUGCCCUAUGGGUUGUAAACUUCUUUUAUAUGGGAAUAAAGUGCAGUAUGUAUACUGCUUUGCAUGUACCUUAUGAAUAAGGAUCGGCUAACUCCGUGCCAGCAGCCGCGGGAAUACGGAGGAUCCGAGCGUUAUCCGGAAUCAUUGGGCGUAAAGAGUUCGUAGGCGGCACGGAAAGGCUGGUGUUAAAGGCAGAGGCUCAACUUCUGUACGGCACUGGAUACUUGCGAGCUAGAAUGCGGUAGAGGUAAAGGGAAUUCCUGGUGUAGCGGUGAAAUGCUUAGAUAUCAGGAGGAACAUCGGUGGCGUAAGCGCUUUACUGGGCCGUAAUUGACGCUGAGGAACGAAAGCCAGGGUAGCAAAUGGGAUUAGAUACCCCUGUAGUC
This 460-nucleotide ribosomal RNA is filed under the name uncultured bacterium. RNAcentral's name for it is "partial 16S ribosomal RNA". It matches the Rfam family "Bacterial small subunit ribosomal RNA", at positions 338 to 795 of the family's 1533-position model. The record is from RNAcentral.